GCAGACGGAGGGCACCGUACUCUGGGCACUAGCUUCACUGCCUACUACCCCGAGGUGCCUUAGCUCGUAAGCGUCUGUGGCUCAGGCCCUGUGCGCCUCGCAGGGACCCGCUGCUCGGGACCCCCGUCUCAGCGGCUCUUCUGUAGCUGGGCCUAGACGGUCCGCUGCCUCCUUGGGCCUGAAGGGCUCCUCUGCACUUAAACUUUGGUAAGUCUUUUUAGCCUAGGGGUGUAGACUCGUCGCGCGGGAGCCCGAAGAGCAGAAAGCUCUCCCCUCACUUUUGGAUGUGUUUUUCAGGGUUCUUGCCUUGGAGUUCUUCCUAGGGCAAACUCUUGCACUCCCAUGGCUUCCGUUACCUACUUCAUGCUGACCAUUCACAACCCAGGCAGCUACAUGGACGAGAUCUCCAGCUGUCCUGAUGUGAAAGUACCUUUUAAUGAUCUCAAGUUCAUCUCAUCUCCUAUCCAGACCGGAAAACUUGAGGAUCCUUCUAGAGUUCUUUUCCUUGCCAAUCCAGUUUACUGGUUUUUGACCAUUCUUUUCGUUUUUGGUGGUGGUGAGGGGCUUUUUAUUGAGGUAAAACAUGCGUAAUGUUUAUUACUUUAAUCAUUUGUAAGUGUAAAACUUGAUGGUCUUGAACUCUGGAGUUAAAGUGAUCCACCCUCCUCAGCCUCCCAAAGUGCUGGGAUUACAUGUGUGAGCCACUGCUCCCAGCCUUUCCCUCUUUUUAAUGUAGUUAUUUACAACUAUACAUUUCACUUUGAUCACUGUUUUCACUACAGCUCAUAAGUUUUUGUAUGUUGUGUUAUUUUCAUUCAUUUCUAAGUAUUUUCUAAUUUCCCUUUUGAUUUCUUCUUCUUUUUUUUUCUUUUUUUUGAGAUGGAGUUUCGCUCUUGUUGCCCAGGCUGGAGUGCAAUGGUGUGAUCUCGGCUCACCGCAACCUCCGCCUCCUGGGUUCAAGCGGUUCUCCUGCCUCCGUCUCUAAAGUAGCUGGGAUUACAGGCAUGCGCCACCACACCGGGCUAAUUUGAUAUUUAGAGAUAUGGAGACGUGGUUUCUCCGUGUUGGUCAGGCUGGUGUCGAACUCCCGACCUCAGGUGAUCCACCCGCCUUGGCCUCCCAAAGUGCUGGGAUUACAGGUGUGAGCCACCGUGCCUGACCUUGAUUUCUUCUUUGACCCAGUUGUUAAGAGUGUUGUUUAACUUUCAGAUAUUUGUGACUUUUCCAGUUUUCCUUCUGUUAUUAAUUUAUAACUUCAUCUGUGUGGUCCGAGAAGAUACUUUGUAUGAUAUCUAUCUUGUAAAAUAUUAUGAAACUUGAAUUGUGGCAUACAGUCUGGUGAAUACCUCAUGUGCUUUAGAGAAGAAUGUGUAUUCUGCUCUUGCUGGGUGGAAUGUUCUGUAUAUGUCUUUUAAGUAUAGCUGGUUUAUUAUGAUGCUUAGUUCCUCUAUUUCCUCACUUAUCUUCUAUCUGAUUCUUCUCCCCGUUACUGAAAAUGGGGUAUUGUAGUCUCCCACUAUUAUUGUAGAACUGUUUAUUUCUCCUUUUAAUUCUGUCCAUUUUUGCUUCAUGUAUUUUGAGAGUCUGUUCCUAGCGAGGUAAAUGCCUAUAAUUUUUAUAUAAUCUUGUUGUAAUGAGCCUUUUAUUAAUAUAUAAUGUCUUUGUCUCUUAUAACCUUUUCAAAUUUUAAAAUCUAUUUUGUCUAAUGGUAGUAUAACUACAUCAGCUCUUUUUCAGUAACUAUUUGCAUGUUAUAUCUUUUUUCAUUAAAUUAUUAUUAUUAUUAUUAUUAUUAUUAUUUGCGAGGGAGUCUCACUGUGUCACCCAGGCUGGAGUGCAGUGGUGCCAUCUCAGCUCACUGCCACCUUCGCCUCCCGGGUUCAAGUGAUUCUCCUGCCUCAGCUCUGGAGUAGCUGGGAUUAUGGGCGCCUGCCACCAUGCCCAGCUACUUUUUGUAAAUUAUUAUUAUUUUCUGUGACAGAGUCUUGCUCUGUCGCCCAGGCUGAAGUGCAGUGGCAAUCUCGGCUCACUGCAACCUCCACCUCCUGGGUUCAAGCCAUUCUCCUGCCUCAGCCUCCCAAGUAGCUGGGAUUACAGGUGCACGCCACCAUGCCCAGUUAAUUUUUGUAUUUUUAGUAGAGAUGGGGUUUUACCAUGUUGGCCAGGCUGGUCUCAAACUCCUGACCUCCCACCUCGGCCUCCCAAAGUGCUGGGACUACAGGCGUGAGCCACUGUGUCCAGCCCUUUUUCCUUGAAUUAUUGAAAAAAAAAUUUUUUUGUAGAGACCGCGCCUUGCUAUGUUCCUCAGGCUGCUCUUGGACUCCUGGCCUCAAGCUAUCUUUGGUCUCCCAAAGUACUGCGGUUGUAAGCCACUGUACCUGGCCCUUUUCCUAACCUUUUCUUUUCUUUUCUUUUUUUUUUUUUUGAGACAGAGUCUCGCUCUGUCACCCAGGCUGGAGUGCAGUGGCGUGAUCUCGGCUCACUGCAAGCUCCGCCUCCCGGGUUCACGCCAUUCUCCUGCCUCAGCCUCCCGAGUAGCUGGGACUACAGGUGCGUGCCACCACACCCGGCUAAUUUUUUUGUAUUUUUAGUAGAGACAGGGUUUCACCAUGUUAGCUAGGAUGGUCUCGAUCUCCUGACCUCAUGAUCCGCCCACCUCAGCCUCCCAAAGUGCUGGGAUUACAGGCGUGAGCCACCACGCCCGGCCUCUAACCUUUUAUUUUCAAUCUAUUUGUGUCUUUGGAUGUCAAGUGAUUCUCUUGUAGACAGCAUUUAGUUGGAGCAUGUGGAUUGUGUGUGUGUGUUUAAAAUUAAUUUUCCCUUUCUUUUUAAAAAUUAAAUAUAUUUUUAGAGACAGGGUCUCACUCUGUUGCCCAGGCUGGAUUGUAGUGGCAUGAUCACAGCUCACUGAAGCUGGAACUCCUGAGCUCAAGUGGUCUUCUCGCCUCAGCCUCUCAAAGUAGCUGGGACUACAGGUGUGCAACACCACACUUGACGCCUUUAUUUUAUUUUAUUUUAUUUUAUUUUUUGAGACAGAGUCUCACUCUGUUGCCCAGGCUGGAGUGCAGUGGCGCAGUCUUGGCUCACCGCAGUCUCUGUCUCAUGGGUUGAAGCGAUUCUCUUUCUCAGCCUCCAGAGUAGCUGGGACCACAGGCAUGCGGUCCCAUCAAGCAAUCCGCCUGCGUUGACCUUCCAGAGUGCUGGGAUUAUAGGCAUGAGCCACUGUGCCCGGACUUGACUCCUUUCUGUCUUUAGAUUGGAGAGUUUAACCUUGACUCCUUUCUGUCUUUAGAUUGGAGAGUUUAAACCAUUUAGAUUUAAAGUAAUUAUUGAUAAGGUGGGAUUUAUAUCUGUCACUUCUCUAUUUGUGUUUUAUAUGCUUUUUAAAUCUUCAUUUCUGCCAUUACUGCUUUUUUGUGUUAGUGUUAGUUGAUUUUUUUAUCAUGAAACGUUUGAUUCCCCUCUCAUUUCCUUUUGUGUAUAUUCUAUAGAUAUUUUAUUGGUGGUUACCAUAGGUAUUACACUCAACAUCCAAAAGUUAUAACAAUCUAAUUUGAAUUGAUACCAAUUAACUUCAAUAUCAUACAAAAACUCUGCUCAUGUAAAGCUCUGCCCUUUCCUUUCUGUUACUGAUGUCACAGAUAACAUUUUAUACAUUGUAUAUCCAAUAACAUAAUUUUUUUUUUUGAGACAGUCUCGCUCUGUCACCCAGGCUGGAGUGCAAUGGUGCAAUCUCAGCUCACUGCAACCUCUGCCUCCCGGGUUCAAUUGAUUCUCCUGCCUCAGCCUCCCGAGUAGCUGGGAUUAUAGGCACCCACCACCACGCCCAGCUAAUUUGUUUCUAUUCUUAGUAGAGAUGGAGUUUCACCAAUAUUGGUCAGGCUGGUCUCAAACUUCUGACCUCAGGUGAUCCACCCACCUCGGCCUCCCAAAAUGCUGGGAUUACAGACAUGAGCCACCACGCCCAGACAACAUAAAUAUUUUUUAUGCAUUUCACUUUUAAAUCAGAGAAAAUAAAAAGUGGAGUUACAAAUCAUAAUUAUAAUAAUUGCUUUUAUAGUUGCCAGUGUAUUUGACUUACUAGAGAUCUUUGUUUCUCUGUAUGGCUUUGAGUUACUAUUGAGUGUACUUGCACUUCAAAAUGUCGGUUUCUCUUUAGCAUUUCUUGAAGGGCAGGAAUGCUGGUGGUAACGAACUCCCUUGGCUUGUCUUUAUCAGGGAAUGUCUUAACUUCACCCUCAUUUUUGAAGAACAAUUUUGCCAGAUAUAGAUUUUUCCAUGACAGUUUUUUUUUUCUUUCUUUCGAGCCUCUGAGGAUUCUUUAUUGGGUGAUAAUCUUAUUGCAAUCCUUUGUAUGGGACAAGUUGCUCAUCUCUGGCUGCUUUCAGGAUUCUCUUUUUUUUUGGCUUUUCACAGCUUAAUUAUAAUAUAUUUGGUGGUUUCUUAGUAUUUCCUAUCAGGAGUCUGAUAAGCUUCUUGGAUUUGUAUAUCAUGUUGUUAAUAGAGUUUGGAGAGUUUUGACCAUGAUUUCUUGCAAUAUUAUUUCUGCCCUUUCUUCUCCUUUGGAACUCCCACAAUUCAUUAUGUUUGUCCUACUGAUGGUAUCCCACAGGGUCCCUUAGGCUUUAUUUACUGUUCACUUUUCUUCAUUCUUUUUUCUUCCUAUUCUUCAGAUGGAGUAGGAGUCAAAAGGAAUCCACCUCUCCACCUAGACAACAGUUCUACCAGCAGCAACUCUCUGAAGUAACUAUGUUGGAACUCUGGAGUCUAUUCGAAUGCUUACAUCUUCCAAGGGAAAGCUGGGCUGGUAAAUAGAGGUUAAUUUCAGUCUCUGUCAGCUUUAGUGUGAUACCAGCUACUCAUGCAGUGUUACUUAACCCUGUAGCACGCAGCUGUAUCCACAUUCCUGGUGCGGCUUGCUGGAGGCUGGGUGGGCGAUACGAACUUUGUCCUCCAAAUACUGGCUGUCGACACUCUGGUUGUUGAUGACUGAAGUGCAGGUGCAGAGGCAGGUUGCCACUGUUUUGACCCCCCACCAGCUGAACCUCUUUCCAAGGGUUUUAAAAGAAUAGCACCUGUUUUGUUUGUUUGCUUCCCUUUUACUCCAUUUAUGAGUCAGAUAUUGAAGGAUUAGGAUAUUCAAAAGCAAUCACUUAGGCAGGGGAAAGUAGAAAGCUACUGCAUAUAACCAGGGAAAGACACAGGCUAAGAAAAGACCUGAGAAAACCUUAAGCUUUCACCCGAGGCUGAUCCUGAUCCCCAGCACAGAGACAAUUACAAAAGCCCAGCAAACAUGGGGGCAGGAGAAUCUUAUUUUCAGAUUCACCACAUUAUGAGAUUCAAAUGUUCAAUUUUCAACAACAACAAAUCAUAAGGAUUUAAAGUGAAGCCAAAUGUGGUGGCAUGUGGUUGUAGUCCCACUUAAUUGGUUGUUACUGGGCAACAUAGUGAGACCCCAUCUCUAGUUGAAAAAUAAAAUUUUUAAAAAAAUCACAAGACAUACAAAUAAACAGGAAAGUAUGGUCAAUUCAGAAGAACAAAAUAAAUCAACUCAAACUAUUCCCACAGAAGCCAAGAUAGAUGUCUGAGUUAAUAGACAAAGGCUUUAAAACAACUAUUUUGAAGUCGUUCGAAGAACUAACAGGGCUGGGCGUGGGGUGGCUCACGCCUGUAAUCCCAGCGCUUUGGGAAGCCAAGGUGGGCAGAUCACCUGAGGUCAGGAGUUCGAGACCAGCCUGGCCAACAUGGUGAAACCCUGUCUCUACUAAAUACAAAAAUUAGCUGGGCAUGGUGGCGUACGCCUGUAAUCUCAGCUUUUCAGGAGGCUGAGGGAGGAGAAUUGCUUGAACCUGGGAGGCGGAGUUUGCAGUGAGUUGAGUUCCUGCCACUGCUCUCCAGCCUGGGUGACAGAGUGAGACUCUAUCUCCAAAAAAAAACAAACAAACAGAAAAAGGACUAAAGGAAGACAUGAACAAAGUCAGGAAAACAAUGUAUGAAUAAAAUUAGACUAUCAUUAAAGAGAAAUUAUAAAAAGGAGCUGAGGCCAGGUGUGAUGGCUCAUGCCGGUAAUCCCAGCACUUUGGGAGGCCAAGGCUCGUGGAUCAUGAGGUCAGGAGUUCGAGACCAGCCUGGCCAACAUGGUGAAACCUCAUCUCUACUAAAAAUACAAGAACUAGCUGGGUGUGGUGGCAUGCCUGUGUUCCCAGCUACUCAGGAGGGUAAGGCAGGAGAAUCACUUGAACCCAGGAGGUGGAGGUUGCAGUGCACCCAGAUUGCACCACUGCACUCCAGCCUGGGUGACAGAGCGAGACUCUUAGAAAAAAAAGGAGCUGAAAUGAAAUUCUAGACCUGAAAGAUACAGUAACUGAAAUGAAAAAUUUACAUAGAGGGGUUCAAAAACAGAUUUGAAUGAGCAGAAGAAAGAACCAGCAAAUUUGAAUAUAUUUCUUUGUAAAAUACCCGCGGAACCCUGUUCCUUCGUUUUACCUCCUGCUUCCUUAGCUCAAGCCUUCCUCAUCUUAGGCAGCCUCCAAACUAUUCUAUCAACCUCCCCUUUUCCCUGCUCUAGUUUUACUAGAGUGAUCUUUAAAAAAACCCCAAAUCUAAUAUUGUCACUGUCCUUUAAAAUAUCCAAGGGCACCCGUGUGUCUAUAGAGUGAACUUCAGUUUCCUUAUUUUAGCAUUCAAGGACCUUCCUAUUUUGGCUCCAGCCUACUACAUUGCUUUAUUUCACACCAGCCCCACAUUCCAUUCAUAUACUGUAACCACAUUUUCUUGGGUACAAAGUCACUUACUGAAAAAAAGUUGAGCAUAUUUGGAAACCAAAAUUCAUUUUCUGUGAAUGGGAUAUCAAUAUAUAGCAUUGGUAGGCAUUGAAACAGACUAUAGUCUAUUUUUAAAAUGGAUUAGAUGAUAAAAACAACAUGUAUGUCAUCACUAAUCCAGUGGUCAAUAUUAGCAUAACUCUGUAAGAUACAAUAAAUGUUAUAUCUAUUGUAGAUACAAUGUUAUGUAUCUAACAUAAUAUCUAACAUGUUAGAUUCAUAACGUUGUAUGUAAUAUAAUGAAACAUGAAGUAUAACCUGUCACUUGUGAGGUAUACUAGUCUGAUAUGUUUGACUUGAAUCCACUGAGUCUUCAAAUAUAACUUUCUUGUUCAAGAAAUACAAGGCUUGCAGGAACAAGCUCAAUGACUUCAUGAGGAAGCAACCACUCAGAUAAAAACAUUUUGCACUUCAAGUGGCCUGAUUUCUACAGUGAACAAGAAUCUUUUAAUUUUUUUUUAAGUGCCAUAAUUAAAAAGUCAAGGGAUGUAACCAGAUGGAAUGUAUGGUCCUGAAUUGGAUAAUUUGGGUAUACUGGUUGUAGAAAAAUAUAAUUUGGUCAACAGAAUAUUUGAUUGUAGUUAGGUAUUAUGUGAGAGGAAAUUUUCCUGUAACAUUACUGAGUUAAGAAAGCCAACUGUAAAAAUAACUUUAGAUGGAUAGAAAAUGUGAAUGUGAUCUAGGAAUUAGGUGAGAAGAAAAUGUACUGAAAUAAGGUAGAUAUUUUUAAUUGAAAAAGGAGAUGACUAAAGUGAUCUCAUUUUGAAAAAAAAAAUACACACACACAGAAGGAUAUACUCUAAAGUAUUAACAUUGGCCCUGGGAAUGCCAUGGUUUUUUUUUGUUUUUCAUUAAAACAUAGAGACACGGUCUCACUAUGUUGCCCAGGCUGGUCUCGAACUCCUAGGCUCAAGCCAUCCUCCCACCUCAGCCUCCCAAAGUGUUAAAAUUACAGGCAUGAGCCACCACACCUGGCCUUUUUUAUUAAAAAAAAUUUUUUUUAAAUGCAAUGUUUUCUUUUUUUGUUGUUGUUUUAGCUUGUGUCUAUUCUCCAAAGCAUGUUGUACUGAUUGUGUAGUACAAUUUUAUUUAAAAAUGUAUGUUAAGAUUUACAUAAAUAUUUGGGGUGUCCAUGAAUCAAGAAAUACAUGAAAGUAUGGGCACCAAAACGUUAAAAGUGGUUUUGUUGGGAGUUCAGGGGAUUUUACUUUCUCCCUAAUACUUUAUUCUUUGAAUAUCUUGAAAUGGAUAUUUUGUAACUGUAUAAGGAGAAAGGAAGCGAAACUAUUUUUCUGCAGGGGUACACCCACAUCUAUUGUAUUAGACAAAUCACAGAGGGAUUGCAACAGAACACAGAUUUUUCUCACUGUUUUUUCUCUGGUUGAUCGGGAUGCAUUAUCCACCAGAAAACACUGUAGACGACUCACUCACCAGGAAAAGAGCAUAUGCCAGUUGGAAUAAAUAAAGGGGAAGAGUAAGGAAGAGGCUGUAGAAUUAUUUUAUAAAUUAUCAAGUCUUAUGAGCCAGGUGCAGUGGUGCAUGCCUAUGUACAGUCCCAGCUACUCAGGAGGCUGAGGUGGUAGGAUAGCUUGAGCCCAGGAGUUCGAGGGUGGAGUGUGAUAUGAUCGUCUGUGAAUAGCCACAGCACUGCAUCCUGGACAAGAUAGGGUCUCUUUAAAAAUAAGACUUAACUAGCACUUUAAUAAUCAUUGUUUUUGUUCCCAACUGCAUUGUACAUUCAUUGAGGACAGGGACUUUAAACUUCAUUAUAUUGCUGUUGCUGUGUUUCACCUUUGAAUGAUUUUUAAAUAAAAAUCUCAUCUUUGAGUCA
RNAcentral lists this long non-coding RNA (8655 nucleotides) under Homo sapiens (human). RNAcentral describes it as "HSALNT0354770". The record is from RNAcentral. Lineage: Eukaryota; Metazoa; Chordata; Mammalia; Primates; Hominidae.